UACGUAUGGUGCAAGCGUUAUCCGGAUUUACUGGGUGUAAAGGGAGCGUAGACGGAGUGGCAAGUCUGAUGUGAAAACCCGGGGCUCAACCCCGGGAGUGCAUUGGAAACUGUCAAUCUAGAGUACCGGAGAGGUAAGCGGAAUUCCUAGUGUAGCGGUGAAAUGCGUAGAUAUUAGGAGGAACACCAGUGGCGAAGGCGGCUUACUGGACGGUAACUGACGUUGAGGCUCGAAAGCGUGGGGAGCAAACAGG
Molecule: ribosomal RNA, 253 nt
Filed under: Mediterraneibacter faecis JCM 15917
Lineage: Bacteria; Bacillati; Bacillota; Clostridia; Lachnospirales; Lachnospiraceae
Description: [Ruminococcus] faecis JCM 15917 partial 16S ribosomal RNA
Rfam family: Bacterial small subunit ribosomal RNA
Source: RNAcentral